Molecule: long non-coding RNA, 904 nt
Filed under: Macaca mulatta (Rhesus monkey)
Lineage: Eukaryota; Metazoa; Chordata; Mammalia; Primates; Cercopithecidae
Description: lncRNA (ENSMMUG00000054056.1)
Source: RNAcentral
GGGGGCGGGCGGCCAGGCCGGUCGGGCGGGUGCGCGGGGCGCGCGGGGCCCGGGGCCAGAGCUGGAGCCGGAGCCGGACGGGCGCCAUGGAGGGGCUGCGGCGGGGGCUGUCGCGCUGGAAGCGCUACCACAUCAAGGUACACCUGGCGGACGAGGCGCUGCUGCUGCCGCUGACCGUGCGGCCGCGGGACACACUCAGCGACCUGCGCGCCCAGCUGGUGGGCCAGGGCGUGAGCUCCUGGAAGCGCGCCUUCUACUACAACGCGCGGCGGCUGGACGACCACCAGACGGUGCGCGACGCGCGCCUGCAGGACGGCUCGGUGCUGCUGCUCGUCAGCGACCCCAGGUAGUCUGGGUUGGAGGAGGCAGAGCCAUGACCGAGGGGACCCGGGUACUGGCUGAAGGAAUAGGCUGGGGUAGAGGGCACUUUUGGAAAACACUUCUCCCGCCUCCCGGGAGCCUAGAUCUCACUCCAGGGUCUGGGCUCCCAGGUGGAUGGUGAAACCCUGGCCUGACCAGAUGAUGCACACUGCUUCAGACGCUCCUGCUGGAGCCCCAAUCCCUGACAUGGACCUAGGACAUUUUUGCUCCUGCCCAGCCUAUCAGGAGAGAGCCUUGAGCCUUUCAGCUCUGCUGUGCGACUUUGAGGCUGUUGCUCCCCUGUUGGGGCCCCGGGUGCCCUGUCUUCAGUGGGAAGCACUGUGCCACCUUGGAAAGCUCCCACGGGCAUCCAGAGAGCAUCGCAAGAAGAGAAGCACAGAGGGGACGGGAGAGGCACUCGGAGGCCCUUCCCCUCUUGCCCAGGACGUUCUCCCAGCCACACCUUUGCCCAAGCCAUGCCCCCUGCCUGGAGCACUUUUCAACCUCUUUUCUGCAGCUCCAAUACACGUGGGAUUGCAGUCUC